AGCGAACGCUGGCGGCAGGCCUAACACAUGCAAGUCGAACGGGCCCCUUCGGGGGUCAGUGGCAGACGGGUGAGUAACACGUGGGAACGUACCUUCCGGUUCGGGAUAGCCCGGGGAAACUCGGGCUAAUACCGGAUACGCCUUUCGAGGGAAAGAUUUAUUGCCGAGAGAUCGGCCCGCGUCUGAUUAGCUAGUUGGUGAGGUAACGGCUCACCAACGCGACGAUCAGUAGCUGGUCUGAGAGGAUGAUCAGCCACUGGGACUGAGACACGGCCCAGACUCCUACGGGAGGCAGCAGUGGGGAAUAUUGGACAAUGGGCGAAAGCCUGAUCCAGCCAUGCCGCGUGAGUGAUGAAGGCCCUAGGGUUGUAAAGCUCUUUCGGCGGGGACGAUAAUGACGGUACCCGCAGAAGAAGCCCCGGCUAACUUCGUGCCAGCAGCCGCAGUAA
This 449-nucleotide ribosomal RNA is filed under the name uncultured bacterium. RNAcentral's name for it is "partial 16S ribosomal RNA". It matches the Rfam family "Bacterial small subunit ribosomal RNA", at positions 29 to 523 of the family's 1533-position model. The record is from RNAcentral.